Molecule: long non-coding RNA, 217 nt
Filed under: Capsicum annuum
Lineage: Eukaryota; Viridiplantae; Streptophyta; Magnoliopsida; Solanales; Solanaceae
Description: long non-coding RNA (CANN_LNC006499)
Source: RNAcentral
UUCCAUGGCUAAAAACUUUAACCACAAUUUUUUCCCCGUAGCAUUCGUAGUAAGAAGCGGCGUAACUAAAUGUUAGCUACAAACUUUACAUGGUAUGUGACUAAAGAAAAAUACUUAUAGCUAUAAAAAAUAUUGUGUUGUAGCUGUAAUGGUAAAAAAACUUUGCUACAAAAUAUGUACUUAUAGCAAAUAAUUUUAUUCUUUUGCCACGAGAAAU